GAAGAUGACGAGCGGCGGACGGGUGAGUAAUGCUUGGGAACAUGCCUUUAGGUGGGGGACAACCAUUGGAAACGAUGGCUAAUACCGCAUAAUGUCUACGGACCAAAGGGGGCUUCGGCUCUCGCCUUUAGAUUGGCCCAAGUGGGAUUAGCUAGUUGGUGAGGUAAUGGCUCACCAAGGCGACGAUCCCUAGCUGGUUUGAGAGGAUGAUCAGCCACACUGGAACUGAGACACGGUCCAGACUCCUACGGGAGGCAGCAGUGGGGAAUAUUGCACAAUGGGCGCAAGCCUGAUGCAGCCAUGCCGCGUGUGUGAAGAAGGCCUUCGGGUUGUAAAGCACUUUCAGUAAGGAGGAAAGGUUAGUAGUUAAUACCUGCUAGCUGUGACGUUACUUACAGAAGAAGCACCGGCUAACUCCGUGCCAGCAGCCGCGGUAAUACGGAGGGUGCGAGCGUUAAUCGGAAUUACUGGGCGUAAAGCGUACGCAGGCGGUUUGUUAAGCGAGAUGUGAAAGCCCCGGGCUCAACCUGGGAACUGCAUUUCGAACUGGCAAACUAGAGUGUGAUAGAGGGUGGUAGAAUUUCAGGUGUAGCGGUGAAAUGCGUAGAGAUCUGAA
Molecule: ribosomal RNA, 616 nt
Filed under: Pseudoalteromonas sp. M183
Lineage: Bacteria; Pseudomonadati; Pseudomonadota; Gammaproteobacteria; Alteromonadales; Pseudoalteromonadaceae
Description: bacterial SSU rRNA
Rfam family: Bacterial small subunit ribosomal RNA
Source: RNAcentral